AGGACGAACGCUGGCGGCGUGCUUAACACAUGCAAGUCGAACGGUGAACUCCGCUUGCGGGGGAUCAGUGGCGAACGGGUGAGUAACACGUGGGCAACCUGCCCUCAGCUCUGGGAUAACUCCAAGAAAUUGGGGCUAAUACUGGAUAUGACUGCUGACCGCAUGGUCUGGUGGUGGAAAGAUUUAUCGGCUGGGGAUGGGCCCGCGGCCUAUCAGCUUGUUGGUGGGUAGUGGCCUACCAAGGCGACGACGGGUAGCCGGCCUGAGAGGGUGACCGGGCCAACGACUGGGACUGAGACACGGCCCAGACUCCUACGGGAGGCAGCAGUGGGGAAUAUUGCGCAAUGGGCGAAAGCCUGACGCAGCGACGCCGCGUGGGGAUGACGGCCUUCGGGUGUAAACCGUCUUUCAGCAGGACGAAGCGAGAGUGACGGUACCUGCAGAGAAGCACGGCAACACGUGCCAGCAGCCGCGU
Molecule: ribosomal RNA, 475 nt
Filed under: uncultured soil bacterium
Lineage: Bacteria
Description: bacterial SSU rRNA
Rfam family: Bacterial small subunit ribosomal RNA
Source: RNAcentral